GCAUAUCAAUAAGCGGAGGAAAAGAAACCAACAGGGAUUGCCCUAGUAACGGCGAGUGAAGCGGCAACAGCUCAAAUUUGAAAUCUGGCCUCACGGUCCGAGUUGUAAUUUGUAGAGGAUGCUUCUGGCGACGUGCCUUCCGAGUUCCCUGGAACGGGACGCCAUAGAGGGUGAGAGCCCCGUCCGGUCGUGCACCUAGCCUCUGUGAAGCUCCUUCGACGAGUCGAGUAGUUUGGGAAUGCUGCUCUAAAUGGGAGGUAUACGUCUUCUAAAGCUAAAUACCGGCCAGAGACCGAUAGCGCACAAGUAGAGUGAUCGAAAGAUGAAAAGCACUUUGAAAAGAGGGUUAAAUAGUACGUGAAAUUGCUGAAAGGGAAGCGCUUAUGACCAGACUUGGGCUCGGUGAAUCAUCCGGCGUUCUCGCCGGUGCACUUUGCCGUCCCAGGCCAGCAUCAGUUCGCGCCGGGGGACAAAGGCUUCGGGAAUGUAGCUCCCUCGGGAGUGUUAUAGCCCGUUGCGUAAUACCCUGGCGUGGACUGAGGUCCGCGCUCUGCAAGGAUGCUGGCGUAAUGGUCAUCAGUGACCCGUCUUGAAACACGGACCAAGGAGUCGUCUUCGUAUGCGAGUGUUCGGGUGUCAAACCCCUACGCGUAAUGAAAGUGAACGUAGGAGAGAGCUUCGGCGCAUCUCCGACCGAUCCUGAUGUUCUCGGAUGGAUUUGAGUAAGAGCAUACGGGGCCGGACCCGAAAGAAGGUGAACUAUGCCUGUAUAGGGUGAAGCCAGAGGAAACUCUGGUGGAGGCUCGCAGCGGUUCUGACGUGCAAAUCGAUCGUCAAAUAUGGGCAUGGGGGCGAAAGACUAAUCGAACCUUCUAGUAGCUGGUUUCCGCCGAAG
RNAcentral lists this ribosomal RNA (895 nucleotides) under Acremonium acutatum. RNAcentral describes it as "LSU rRNA". It matches the Rfam family "Eukaryotic large subunit ribosomal RNA", at positions 38 to 966 of the family's 3401-position model. The record is from RNAcentral. Lineage: Eukaryota; Fungi; Ascomycota; Sordariomycetes; Hypocreales; Bionectriaceae.